Molecule: long non-coding RNA, 1168 nt
Organism: Siniperca chuatsi (mandarin fish)
Lineage: Eukaryota; Metazoa; Chordata; Actinopteri; Centrarchiformes; Sinipercidae
Exons: 3
Source: RefSeq, a predicted model, not a curated record
UUCGUCCUGCAAGACAUUUGGCUUUGAACGUGUAGAUUGUGUUAUCAGAGGCGCACACAUGUGCACGUCUGCGUAAUUGGUAGGAGUUUCCCGAUGACUGUCAGUCCCGCUCUGACAGCUAAACUACAAUCAUCAAAAGCAAAACAUUUCGGAUAUUUGAAUGAUUAAUUUGCCUUUCACCAAAAGCUGCACUGCACAAAUAUUGUCAGCAACAUACUUAAAGUAUUAAAAGUUAAAAACCUAAAUAACAAAUUGCCUCAUGAAAAACACCUGUGGUGUAGAAACAUAUGUGAAGCAGAAUUGAAACCAAUGAAGUCAAAGAUCUGUGUGCACAGUUGCAUUCAGGUACAUUUAGCUGCAGAAACAGGCAGGUUUCAUGUUCUCCCUGAAGAGAAAAUACUUUGUUAUGUGAUUUGAGAUUGAAGACUAUUUCAUGUUUUAUUGCUCAUUGUAUGAUGAUCUUCAUGUCUGUCUGAUUAGUUCUUUGUUGUGUUGUAUGUUUUAGGAAGGGGACAUUUUCUGUGACAGAUUUUAUUUGUAAAGCUUUGGACAGAUUUAUAAACAGACACCAGAAAUAACCUCCUCAUAAUGAUACAACAUUUUACAAACAAAGGUCUUUCUGUUGCAGCGACGCCUUUACAUACUUGCCACGGUGUAGUCCAUGUCAAAGCCGUAGCAUUUGAUGUUUUCCAGUGUCAGACUUCUGUUGAUGAAUACCCUGUGAUCAAACACAGCACAACUGAAAUCUGCAGACACAUGACCAGGAAAAUAUGUUUAAUCACAAGACCUCAGAGAUGUUAUGUGUUGGGUUCAUCGCAUACUACGUUGCAGUAGGGUCUUUGCUUAUCAGCUUGUUUGCAUCAGUUCUACCCAGAGGUUCAUGUAGGCCUGAAGGGAAGAAGUCAUCUACGUAUCUAUGACGCUGGCCACCUCACCUGAUCCCCAGCAGCUGACCACAGAACUUCCCCAAGGAGAUGAAGGUAGCGAUGGUCACACCCACCAUCCCUCGCAGCUUCUUGGGGGCGCAUUCAACAAGUGGACCAGCCACCAGGGACCCCAGUAAUCCCCCGAUGCAGAAAAUGGACACAGUGAAGGACCAGAUGAGAGAAACCUGCCACGGCUCCAAGGAGACAUUGUAUCUCUGUAGACAUGUUUUGUUCACCAGCUC